UCAAUUUCGUUCGAAGCAGGGGGGGAGGUCGUCUCUAGGGCCAAUCGCUGUACAGGGUUAUGUCCUAAUAUGACGUCACGCGCGAUUUCGUGAAGAAGUCCUCAUGUCGAGAAUGGCUUCAAAGUGUUUGAUGUACAAAAUAUGCAUGUUUUUGGAGAAAGUGAACUUCGAACUUAAGAAAUAAUGUAGAGGAAGUCUCUGAGUAUUGUAUUUUGGAAAAAAAUAUAUGGANUUUNUANUCUACUGUUAAAUUUUAUGGGAAAGAAGACAGUUAGUCCGAAACAAAAUGGCGGAAAUUUUCAUUGCUCGGANACAUAAAUGUGGUGAUAUCUUGAGAUCUACGCAAGAACUCGUCACCAAAGGAGGAACAUUUGUAAAGUAAAGUCGGAGGAUUUUGGAAUUGUAUACAUCAAGCUUGUCGGAUCAGUGGAACUUCAUAUCUUUUGCUUUGAACACCGAGAGUGAUAAACAUGGAACGUGGAACGACCUGAGUGUAUUGAACUUGUGCUCCUAACUUACGUCACAUGGAAAACAUUGGUCCUAAAAGUUUACAAUAUAUUGCAAACACUAGUUCAGUGCUAGGUAUGCAUGUCAGCAAUCCUGCAGGAAUGUAAGUGAAUGACAGUAGCAGGGUUAUCUAGUUUGUUCUGCCUAAGUCACCUUCAACCAUCAACUAANGGCUUAGACAGUAAAGUACAUGUAACUUGAUUGCCCAAUUUGAAAAUACUAUUAAAAAGAUGAAAAUUCAGAAGAUU
This 755-nucleotide long non-coding RNA is filed under the name Exaiptasia diaphana. RNAcentral describes it as "uncharacterized LOC110246668". Lineage: Eukaryota; Metazoa; Cnidaria; Anthozoa; Actiniaria; Aiptasiidae. The record is from RNAcentral.